UACGUAGGUGGCAAGCGUUGUCCGGAUUUAUUGGGUUUAAAGGGUGCGUAGGCGGUGACCUAAGUCAGUUGUGAAAUACGGCAGCUUAACUGUCGAGGUGCAAUUGAUACUGGGUUACUUGAGUACUGAUGAGGUAUGCGGAAUGGACGGUGUAGCGGUGAAAUGCUUAGAUAUCGUCCAGAACACCGAUAGCGAAGGCAGCAUACUAAGGAGUAACUGACGCUGAGGCACGAAAGUGUGGGGAUCAAACAGG
This 253-nucleotide ribosomal RNA is filed under the name uncultured bacterium. Its description in RNAcentral is "partial 16S ribosomal RNA". It matches the Rfam family "Bacterial small subunit ribosomal RNA", at positions 524 to 776 of the family's 1533-position model. The record is from RNAcentral.